Paramisgurnus dabryanus is the source of this 1778-nucleotide long non-coding RNA. RefSeq lists it as uncharacterized. The record is from RefSeq and is a predicted model, not a curated record. Lineage: Eukaryota; Metazoa; Chordata; Actinopteri; Cypriniformes; Cobitidae.
CAAAAUGCAGAAAAACGUCAGCUCUUCUCCAGUAGGAACACAUGUCUUGUUGUAUUUUUGAAAAGUAAACAUGUAAAGUUGGCUGAUUCUUGAGUCUGUGUUCAUUAUGAAAUAUGCUGGACAGCAAUAUCUGAACUGUGUCUUGUGAAUAUCCAGAGAGCGUGUCUGGGUUUCCUCAACAUGAACUUUCAUUUAUGCAUGCAGAUUUCUUUUGCCAUGUAGGGCCAAAACAAAUAUGAACAAUUUUAUGAUUCAUAGCUGCUGAAACCACAGUGACUUAAGGUCAGUUUUUUAUUGCACAUUUGUUCUGUUUAGAUUUUGCUCUUUAUGAUGAUUGUCAGCACUAUAUUUAGAGAAAAGAAGAGAGAGCGUUCAGAAAGAGGCGCUACCACCCUGCAAACAUAUUCCCAACUGGUUUAUACAUUGUGACAACUGGAACAGUACAGGAACUCGGCAGGUGCCCUGAUCAAAGCCACAGAGACAGUCUGCAAAUAACCAAACCUCAACAUAAAGUGAUUCUUCAUCAUUAAGAGCUAAAUAUAAUUAAUCGGGCAUCAUCCUGCCAGUCCUUGUGGUUUCCAGUCAUAUUCUGGGAAGGGGCCACAAUCUCAGAAGAUCUUGGAUGUUUUUCCGUGUUCCCUUCUUUCACUACGAGGGGAGAUGGCGAUCAUGGAUCACUGCUUGGAGAAGGAAAGUUUGGCAGCCGUUUACCAAGUGACUACUUCAACUAAAACAUAUUUAGCUAAAUGUGCAGGUCAAGCAUCUGCCCCACUGAAACACUAUAAUUCCCCCUGGUCAACAAAGAAGCUUGGACCUUUCAACUGCACACAGCCAUCUGGCCAGGCCAAUGACAGACCUCCAUGUAGCCACUUUAGAUGGCAGGAUUACUGGGCUGUGACUGCCACGGCAGGAUGCUCAGGGGACCGGGGGAUCUGUGUCCUGAAGCCCAGGGAACUUGAUCGGUGGGGGGAUGACUGCAAAGACCUCCAGCCUACAGCAGCAAAAUGGGCGCCUGGGGAGCAAGAGCUCACAAUGGAGUCUCUCAGCACCCAGACAGCAGCAGAGAAUGAAUGAGGAGAAGGGGGGGGGGGGGGUGAUGGGUAAGACGAGAGGAAAAGGAGCAUUGUUGCACAGAUGUCUGGGGUGAAGCUAUGGAGUCAGGACGAGACUGAGUCAGUGCACCUGUAGGACUUCAUGCAGGUUAGAAGAGUGAAAUGCAGAUUUCUCAUGGGAUCUGUCUCUUUCUAUGGACAGUGGACAUGAGGUCAUGCGAAAAGUAUCAUAUGUCCAUGUGUUUGCUUGACACCAGAUGAAUUUCUUAUACACAUUAAGCUUGAAUUAUGGACAAUCCUACAAAAAUGUAUCCAACGUGAUCUCAUGAGAAUGUGUGUGUGGUUAUACAGCGAUCUUGAUUCCAGUUCUCAACAGCAACUGUAAACGUCAAAUCUCACGUUCAUAUUUGAAUUCAAAUAAGAAGCUUUACGGCAGUGAUAUCAAACGCUCAUUUGCUCAUGCGUGCUACAUUACAGAUUUGUGUCAUUGCUGUCUUUCAGUCAAUGUACCUUUGAAAUUUUAAAUGUGCGCCUUGAGAAGCCUGAUUAACAUUCUCAUGGAUAAAUAACUUUAAUACUCAUCAGACCCACGUGCGGUGACACGAUUACGCAUCUGGUCUGAAAUUUACUUCCGGUUUCAGAUUUUUUUAAUGGUCUGACUAGUUGCUAAAUUGAACUCUUAAACAAAUACCUUGUCAAAAAUAACAAAUGUUUUGGUUUCCUAGG